AAAUAACUUAUUUUUAUUUUGUUCAUAAGGGGAGGGAAGAGAUUAUAUAAUUUAAAUUACUUUUAUACCCAAUAAAAAUAUUUACUUGAAUUACAAUGCCAUUACAAUAUAAUCAAAGCAAACAGAAACGUAACAGACCCAAUUUUAAGACAAAAACAGAAUGGCAGAGUCCCAAAUCGCCAAAGAACAGAGUCGGAAAUUACAACCAAAUCAAGGGCAAUCAGAAACUCGACCACGUCAGGAAAGAAACUCCAAAUCGUCAAAGAAACAGAGCCUCGAUUAAGAACGCAAAAAACAGACCCAAUUUUAAGCGAAGCUGAACCAAUUUUUCCACCCAAAAUAAGGGCGAACAGAGCCACGAAUCUUCCAGAGUCGGAAACCAAAUAAGAACACCAAAACCGGCACACUACAGAGGCGAAACACCGCCAGACCAUGCAAAAGAGGCGGUUGCAGAGAGAGGGGCUGGCAGUUGGUAUGAAGAAGGAAGUAAAUAAAAGAAGGGAAACCCAGGAUAAAAAAUUAAAAAUUGUAAUUUUUAGAUUUGUGUAGGGUUAUUUUUGUCUGAAAUUUAUUUCCCCUCCUAAUUCCCCCACUUUUGGGGGGAACAAAAAAUUGAGGUUGGAGGGAUUUUGCUCCCCUCCAUUUCCCUCCCCUCCCCUCCUAAAGUUUGAACCAAACAAAAUCAGAUUUUAAAAAUCCCUCCCCUCCCCUCCCCUCC
This 718-nucleotide long non-coding RNA is filed under the name Lotus japonicus. RNAcentral's name for it is "long non-coding RNA (LJAP_LNC000056)". The record is from RNAcentral. Lineage: Eukaryota; Viridiplantae; Streptophyta; Magnoliopsida; Fabales; Fabaceae.